Molecule: non-coding RNA, 80 nt
Organism: Podarcis lilfordi (Lilford's wall lizard)
Lineage: Eukaryota; Metazoa; Chordata; Lepidosauria; Squamata; Lacertidae
Source: the annotation of a GenBank genome assembly
GUCAGAAGAGAUAGCUCAGUUGGUUAGAACAUGGUGCUGAUAACGCCAAGGUUGCAGGUUCAAUCCCCCCGUGUGGGACA